RNAcentral lists this ribosomal RNA (253 nucleotides) under uncultured bacterium. RNAcentral's name for it is "partial 16S ribosomal RNA". It matches the Rfam family "Bacterial small subunit ribosomal RNA", at positions 524 to 776 of the family's 1533-position model. The record is from RNAcentral.
UACAGAGGGUGCGAGCGUUGUCCGGAAUCACUGGGCGUAAAGGGCGCGUAGGCGGCUUGAUAAGCGUGCGGUGAAAGCCCGGGGCUCAACCCCGGGUCGGCCGUGCGAACUGUCGAGCUGGAGCACUGUAGAGGCAGGUGGAAUUCCGGGUGUAGCGGUGGAAUGCGUAGAGAUCCGGAAGAACACCGGUGGCGAAGGCGGCCUGCUGGGCAGUGGCUGACGCUGAGGCGCGAAGGCGUGGGGAGCGAACGGG